RNAcentral lists this ribosomal RNA (264 nucleotides) under uncultured archaeon. RNAcentral describes it as "partial 16S ribosomal RNA". It matches the Rfam family "Archaeal small subunit ribosomal RNA", at positions 717 to 982 of the family's 1478-position model. The record is from RNAcentral.
AGACGUCUACAUUAGAUACCCCGGUAGUCCCAGCCGUAAACUAUGCGCGUUAGGUGUAUCGGUGACCACGAGUUACCGAGGUGCCGAAGGGAAACCGUGAAACGUGCCGCCUGGGAAGUACGGUCGCAAGGCUGAAACUUAAAGGAAUUGGCGGGGAGCACCACAACGGGUGGAGCCUGCGGUUUAAUUGGACUCAACGCCGGGAAGCUCACCGGAUAGGACAGCAGAAUGAUUGCCGGGCUGAAGACUCUGCAUGACUAGCUG